This is a long non-coding RNA of Capra hircus (goat), 890 nucleotides long. RefSeq lists it as uncharacterized. Lineage: Eukaryota; Metazoa; Chordata; Mammalia; Artiodactyla; Bovidae. The record is from RefSeq and is a predicted model, not a curated record. The transcript has 4 exons.
CGUCCGGGCGAAGGAAGGAAGGAGGGCGCGGGGCGCCUGGAGGGAGCCGCGCGGGGCCGGGGCUCCCACGCUUGAGGUCCCGAGGGACCUGGGGCCAAGGGCGCUGUGAGGCUUGGCGGAGGGCGGGGAGGGGGGGCUCGGGCCUCUGCUCUCUUCGUCAGCAACCCCGACCGCCGGGGGAGGGGCAGUGUGCUUUGCCAGGUGCGUCGCCCCGUCAGUACAAAAUCUCUGAGCCAGCUCAGCUGUCUUUUAAAAAGAAGACAUGUCUUAAGAAGGAGCAAUCUGCAAGCCAGCCAGAAGCAAAGACGCCACUGAUUGACCUGUGGAAAGCGCUCCUAUUCAUCCACUGCUAAAUGCAUUCUAAGAAUGCUGACUGCAUUAUUCAGCCAUGGAAGAACUCCACUCAGAGGGAGUCGUGAUAAAUCAGAGCAUCAGCCCUUUCCGCUUGGACACCAAUAAGUCCUGCACUUCAAAAUUGCUGACCUAAAAAGGAUGCUCAAGAAGGAGCAAGUUUUUUUUUUUUUUCCUUGUAAAGAAAGCAACACCAGAAGCAGUGUGACUUCCUUGUUCACUUAGAUGCAUGCAAAAAAGAAAAGGUCGCUGUCUUUGCUUCAGGACUUUCUUCCUUCCACCCUCACAGCAUGAGCUUGUGGACUGCCUGCUGAGGAACAUCCUACUGAGAAGAACCUCCAGAUCAUUCCGUGAGAUGGUAACAGAAAGGAACCAAGGUGAAAAGAGGGGUGGUGUGGGGAACUUCCCUGGAGAUCCGGUGGUUAAGACUCUUCUUCCACUGCAACAGGUGUGGGUUUGAUCCCUGGUUGACUGAAUGGCGUGGCCAAAAAGCAAAAAUAAAAGAUGGUGUGAGAUUCCCUCAACCUUCUGGUAAUUGA